This is a non-coding RNA of Chrysemys picta bellii (western painted turtle), 770 nucleotides long. NCBI's taxonomy places the organism in Eukaryota, Metazoa, Chordata, Testudines, Emydidae. The record is from RefSeq and is a predicted model, not a curated record.
GAAAUUGAGGUACAGGGAGGUGAAGUAACUUGCCCAAGGUGACCUAACAGGUUAUCAGAGCUGUUAAGAUAUCACUGAAUAAUCAGGUGGAAGAAGACUGACGGAUUUAAGCCCAAUUUUUGUGGAAAUUAGUGAAGGAAAUAUACAUUAUUUGUACAUUGAAGGCAGAUAAGGCCUGAGGAGACAAAGCAGCAGCUACUGCAAUACAUUCUAACCAUUAAACAGAAGCCCAGCUGUCAUGACGGUUUUGUGAGCCCUGUCUGAGAUCAGGGUCCCACAUGGACAUCUGCAGCUUCAAAGAAUCCCAAUGACCUAGAUUCAGUUGUAGAUUACUGUCUGGUCUGGCCUUUGCUGCUAUCACUGCACUAGGAGCCUGAUUUCAGUUACACAGGCUGACUUGCUCACUGCUCUGACCCAUUUUCCCAUGGCAACCUGGUUUGCUGUACCAGGAGCUAGAAAAAUACACAGUUGACUUUUUAAGGAUUCCAAGAUUAAGUUUACUCUUUGCCUUUUUUUAAAAAAAAUGUACUUAGCAGAUAUGCAGAAGAAGAGCUGACACUUUGCAACAGCAUUGGAAGCCAGGGAGAGAUUUAGGCCAGGUAUUAUUUACUUACUUACUAAAUCACUGCAUGUCUGGAUGAGGUUUUUAUUUUCUUAUCUCUUUGCAAAAAUAGCCAAUUGGCUUUCCUUCCCCCCAACCACCUCAUCCCUGUUUCAUCCCCCCAACCCAUCGCCUUAUAAUAAAUGUAUUUUACAUUGUACUAAGUCUU